Molecule: ribosomal RNA, 263 nt
Filed under: Enterobacteriaceae bacterium 138I1
Lineage: Bacteria; Pseudomonadati; Pseudomonadota; Gammaproteobacteria; Enterobacterales; Enterobacteriaceae
Description: partial 16S ribosomal RNA
Rfam family: Bacterial small subunit ribosomal RNA
Source: RNAcentral
CCGGGAACUCAAAGGAGACUGCCAGUGAUAAACUGGAGGAAGGUGGGGAUGACGUCAAGUCAUCAUGGCCCUUACGAGUAGGGCUACACACGUGCUACAAUGGCGCAUACAAAGAGAAGCGACCUCGCGAGAGCAAGCGGACCUCAUAAAGUGCGUCGUAGUCCGGAUUGGAGUCUGCAACUCGACUCCAUGAAGUCGGAAUCGCUAGUAAUCGUAGAUCAGAAUGCUACGGUGAAUACGUUCCCGGGCCUUGUACACACCGC